CCCCGGGCGCUCCUCCGGGUGCAGCCCCUUCCGGCCCCGCAGGCUCCGCCCCAGGUUAGACACACGGCACGCUGGCCUCGUUCGCGCCCUUCCCCGGCAGAAGCGCCAUCGUGGUCUGAUCACCAAAACGCCAGCUCUUCCUUCCUGAGCGUCUCCUGGUGGAUCGCUGGCUCCUACGCCAGCCCCUGGCCCCGUCCUGGUCAUUUCCUGCCGGGGUCAUCGGCCGCCCUCUCCAGUCGUUCUUCAGCAGCGAUGGUUUGAACGUGCAAAUCCGAGAGCCUCUGCAGGAGCAGCUCCUCUCCUGGCGGGCCCCAGGGGCGUCACCUGUGUUCACCUCUUUCGUUCUAUGUCACGCCUCCCUGAGGCCUUCCCAGAUGACCCAUCUAAAACAGCACCGAUCCAGCCCAACUCAAUGCCACCCCCCGGGAGCCACUCCGGAGGCUGGGGAGUUACUAUCUCUCUUGCUGACAUGCAUCGCAAAAUGCGUGCUGGCUCGGGUACUCAGGUGAGUCCUGCGGGGUCACUGUGAGAGCGCCCCCUGGUGCCCGGCCGGGCAGCACGUGCUCCUGGGCCCCAGGCUCUCCCAAGCUUCCUCUGCACACGGCACCCUCAUACCUCCUGAUCCUUCUACAGUGGCCCUGGGACCGAGACACGCCCGGCACUUCCGUUUAUUAAGUAGUUAGGAUCACACAAUUUGAAAAGUAUUUAUGGGACGACAGUGCAGCCGUCCCUUGAAAAGUUAAGCAUAGGGGCGCCUGGGUGGCUCAGUCCGUGAAGCCUCCCACUCUUGAUUUCAGCUCAGGUCAGGAUCUCACGGUUUGUGAGAUCGAGCCCCGCAUCGGGCUCUGUGCCUGUCAGUGCGGAGCCUGCUUGGGAUGCUCUCUCUCUCCCUCUCUCUGCCCCUCCCCUGCUCAUGCUCUCUCUCUCCCUCUCUCUCUCUCUCUCUCAAAAUAAACAAGUACACAUUUUUGUAAAUUAAAAAGAACUGUUAAGCAUAAAAUUACCACGUGACCCAGCGAAUUCACCUAAGUGUCUACCCAACAGAACUGAAAACAGGAAUUCAAACAAAACUUUGUACACAAGUGUUCCUGGCAACAUUAUUCACAAGAGCAAGAGGUUGUAGCACCCCAGGUGUCCAUCGGUGGGUGAGUGAAUAACAGAACGUGGUAAAGACGGGCAGUGGGAGGAAGGGGCCUUGGUCCUCACGCUCGCGGGCCUGGCCUGCAAGGCGUUUUAUUUCCCAGGGCGAGCACGGGCCUGGAGCUGGUGGCUGCCGAUAAGGCUGUCUGCUCUGGGCGCAAAGAUCAGGACCAGAUCUCCCGUCAAUCAUGGUGAUCUUAGCGGCAAAGCGGGGACUGGCCCCAUCUCAUCUAUGGCCAGAGAUGGGCCCAGGGGGGUCCAGAAACACAGCCAAAUGGUCCUUUCAAGCAGACGAUGCCUACUUCUGGUAGUGUCCCCAAAGCAGAGCUGGCGUCCGAAAGCAGGUCAGCAGAUCCCAACAACGGAGUGGGACCAGGAGGCGACCCGUAGUCUCUGGUUUGUUUUUACUGGACACGCAGGGCAGCUCUGCCCGGCUGGCCGGGUAGCUGGCGAGCCUCCCUCACCUGUGUGCUCACAGCCUUGGUGGGGAGGUGCCCACGGAUGAUGAGGAACCGGGCGGAACCGUAGGGCAGG
Long non-coding RNA from Acinonyx jubatus (cheetah), 1674 nucleotides. RefSeq lists it as uncharacterized. The record is from RefSeq and is a predicted model, not a curated record. NCBI's taxonomy places the organism in Eukaryota, Metazoa, Chordata, Mammalia, Carnivora, Felidae. The transcript is spliced from 3 exons.